Molecule: ribosomal RNA, 397 nt
Filed under: uncultured bacterium
Lineage: Bacteria
Description: partial 16S ribosomal RNA
Rfam family: Bacterial small subunit ribosomal RNA
Source: RNAcentral
AUACGUAGGUGACAAGCGUUAUCCGGAUUUACUGGGCGUAAAGGGCGUGUAGGCGGUCUUGCAAGUCAGAAGUGAAAUUCCUGAGCUCAACUCGGGCGCUGCUUCUGAAACUGCAGGACUUGAGUGCUGGAGGGGAUAGCGGAAUUCCUAGUGGAGCGGUAAAAUGCGCAGAUAUUAGGAAGAACACCGGUGGCGAAGGCGGGGAUGUGGACAGUGACGGACGCUGAGGGGCGAAAGGGUGAGUAGCAAACAGGAUUAGAUUCCCUGGUAGUCCACGCCGUAAACGAUGAAUACUAGGUGUAGGGUGUAUCGACUCCCUCUGUGCCGCAGUUAACACAAUAAGUAUUCCGCCUGGGGAGUACGGCCGCAAGGUUGAAACUCAAAUGAAUUGGCGGGG